This 497-nucleotide ribosomal RNA is filed under the name uncultured bacterium. RNAcentral describes it as "partial 16S ribosomal RNA". It matches the Rfam family "Bacterial small subunit ribosomal RNA", at positions 28 to 507 of the family's 1533-position model. The record is from RNAcentral.
GACGAACGCUGGCGGCGUGCCUAAUACAUGCAAGUUGAGCGAUGAAGAUUGGUGCUUGCACCAAUUUGAAGAGCAGCGAACGGGUGAGUAACGCGUGGGGAAUCUGCCUUUGAGCGGGGGACAACAUUUGGAAACGAAUGCUAAUACCGCAUAACAACUUUAAACAUAAGUUUUAAGUUUGAAAGAUGCAAUUGCAUCACUCAAAGAUGAUCCCGCGUUGUAUUAGCUAGUUGGUGAGGUAAAGGCUCACCAAGGCGAUGAUACAUAGCCGACCUGAGAGGGUGAUCGGCCACAUUGGGACUGUGACACGGCCCACACUCCUACGGGAGGCAGCAGUAGGGAAUCUUCGGCAAUGGACGAAAGUCUGACCGAGCAACGCCGCGUGAGUGAAGAAGGUUUUCGGAUCGUAAAACUCGGUUGGUAGAGAAGAACGUUGGUGAGGGUGGAAAGCUCAUCAAGUGACGGUAACUACCCAGAAAGGGACGGCUAACUACGUG